ACAAACGACGCUCACUGUUCCUCCAUCGUUCUCACUCGAACCAAGCCCCAAAUUCAAUCCAAAUUUGGGCGAGUGAAUCCCAAAUCCUUAACCCACGCGUCCCUCCUUCUCUCAUCUUACUGUUGCUAAUGGUUUCUGACGCAAGAUUCCCCUCCCCUCUCACUUUCUCGAAUUCGAGUUGUAUCAUACGAUUGGAAGGUUCUGAAGAUGAGAUGCUGGAUGAGUGUGAGGCGUUGGAUUGAUUUCACUCAAUCCGAGCCCCAUAUUCAUCAAGGAUUCUUCAAAAGAAGCCUGAUCCGAUUUUGUGAAAGGGGGACUCUGGUAAAAAUAAUUCGAAAAGAAAAAGGCGGAAAGGCUUCUUGAACGGAUGGUUUUCGGAGUCUAUUUUCUUCUUUGAAAAAUUCUUUCAAAGUUUAAGAGAAACAUAUAUACAAUUUCUUUUACUUUUCUGAAUCGGGAUUUGAGGUCCAAGGAGAUAACAAUUGAAGUUCAAGCUUGGUUUUCUACUGUCAUCCUGCUGACUCGCUAGUGAACCUCGCUAGGAUUUGGAGUCGAGAAGUGUAUUGUCGAGUCCAUAAUUGUUAUAAAAGAGAUUUGCAACUUCAGGUUCAAUUUUCCUCUCUUUAUUUCUAUGCGACUCUGUUUUGUUUCAGUGUUUUUGAGCUAUGAGAUUCAGUCUAGAGUGGUUUAUUCUGUGUUAUGAUCGAAUUUCUUGCUGACUGAAUCUAUUCCCGGUGGUGGUAUGUGUUUGAGUAUAUAUAGUCAAUGAGAGUCGAUUUGAGUAAUCAUCUUCCACCUCCUGUAUGUCGUGAUUGUUAUUCGGGCUCGAGGUAUAUUCUGAGUUAAAUUUCAUCAUGUUCAGUUGAACGAUAUGUGCAGUUUCUUCUGGUGAGAUUCCUUUGCAAUAUGCUCUGAUGUUCAUGAUGAAUUGCUUGAGCCAUAAGUUCAGGGAGUUAACUAAUAGUUCUGUAGAUGUUAUACUGGAAAUGUGUGGUCGACCUAGAAUGAUUUUCACUGUUAGCUAUGGUGUUUUGAUUGAGGAUUCAGCACACAACUAGUUAAUGGUUGUACUAAAGCUGACCUCAAAUCAAUUGGUUCAAGUAUACUCGCAGUAGAGUUGUUGGAAGUCUUCUAUGUGCUAAUUGUUAAACUAUAGCUUUGUACAUGUUUAGUUUCCUUCAUAAGCAACAAGAGGUUGAUUUGAGUAAGAUGAGUAAAAAUCAGUAGUAAAUUAUGAGUUUACGUUAAAUUUUUGAACCAAGUUAUGUUGCCUUGAUUGAGUUUUCCUAAAAUUUUGUUCACCCUUACCUUGGUCUCAUAGUUUAAACAGUUUAGUCGAUUGUAUUUCAGAUCUUAUUUCAGUUUCAUGGUUACUAUGGUUGUCAUGGUUCAUUAGUCGAGUCAGUACAUAUGUUGAAUGUUUUUUUUUUGGUUAAUGAGAAUCCUGUUAUGUUGCUCUCUGAAUCGGGAUCUUUGGUUGAUGUUUCUACUGACUUGAUCUUAGUAUGCCCCUUUGAGAGUUUUGAAAUGAAAUUAUUAGCCUAAAAGUUUAAUAGGCGUGAGGUCUUGGUUGAGUACAUGCUUUGGUAUGAACUGUGUUGAACCACUAGAGUAUCUGUGGUUUGUUCUAUUUUCCCUGUAAGCUGAAGGAAAUGGUUAGCAAAUUCUCUGUUUAUAAUAUUGCGUUGCUCAUAGCUGAUUGAAGUAACUCACUACUCGAUGUAAUUAGGAUCGAAGUUGCUCAUAGUAUGUCAUGGAGACUUCAAAAGUUAAAGUUUGUUUUGGUUAGCAGUAGCUUAUCCCGUUUCUAUUGAAGACUUACCUUGAUAAUGUGUAUGCAUAAUGAUAAAUGCAUUUUAGCUAAGGUUUUGGACAUCAGCUGGCACCUUGCCUCCCAGCUCUUUUAACUGUUUUUUCAGAUUCUGCUUGUUUCUUUGUGUCCAUGGAGUCCCUCUUAUCCUUGUCCUCUUUAGCAAACUUCUCAGCUUCAUGAACUAUUCUAUCAACCUAAAAAAAACAGUUCACCAAAAGGUGGAUGGUAAGUAUGCUAUAGGGAUGAUUAAUGACCACUUAUGUCUUGUGAAAGUAUAUGAUUACGGAUGAUGUGCUGAAGUUCAAAGUCAUGCCACAACUUAUAUUCACACAGAUUCUGUAAUGCAACUCAAUAUUCACAUCCAAAACUAAAGUGCAAUAGUUAUAGCCCUCAUAGUGUAGCUUGGAAACCUCUUGUUAGAAUAACUCGAUGUGUGCCAUGUCAAACAAGAAUUUCAAUUGCAUGGCCCUCGUUUUAAUUAGUUUGAUUUAAUCUUUAGACAUCGAGGCGUGCCAUUUAGCAAAUUUCCAUGGCCCUCGCAAAGUUAACAACGCAUAGCCGCUUUUAGGCACGUUAUUUAAUAAUGUACAUUCCUAAACUCGGGUGCGCAUUUAUGUGACCCAAAUCCAAAUCUCAACGAUGUUAAAAUAUGUCGAAGACCAUGGGUGCAUUUAUGCGACGUGGUUCAAGACAUGUUUUAACAACGUUGCAAUAUUUUUAAAAUGACUAAAAGCAGUUAAAGUUAAAACUGAACCAUAGGUUCAUAAUUGUUUAAAAUCAGACAAUUAAGCCGAAUAUAACAUUUGAGCGACCGUGCUAGAACUACGAAAUUCGGGAAUGCCUAACACCCUCUCCCGGGUUAACAGAAUUCCUUACCCGGAUUUCUAUGUUCGCGGACUGUUAAACAUAGUCAAGCUUUUCCUUGAUUCGGGAUUCAACCGGUGACUUGGGACAUCAUAAAUCUCCCAAAUGGCAACUCUGAAUCUUUUAAUAAUAAAUCCCAUUUUGAUUGUCCUUUAUUGAAAAAACUCCUUUAUACCCUUCCCGGGGGUGUAGUGAAAAAGGAGGUGUGACAACCACUAAGCAACUUUUAGAUUACAACCUAUGCAACCUAAGAAUUAACCUCUUAAUCCCUCACUAACUUGUAACAUACCUAUUACAAGCCAUUUUAUAAUACCUCUAUUACAAAGACUUCACAACUUGACUAACUCUAGCCAAGACAUAAAUACGAGGGUUUAUGAUUGACAAGAGUUUCCUACACACUGCUUAUAAGUAAGAUAAUUAAGAGUUACAAGUAAGAACAUUAACAAAGGUACAACUCAACUAAGGACAUACAAUUACUUGAUAUGACAAAACUGGUCUAUAGUAGUGUUGUUCUUUGUUCUUGAUACACUUGAGAAUUGUUGAUCAGAAGCUUAAUCACUGUUGAAGUGCUUGAGUGAAUUUUAUAAGUGUUCAAGUGAUUUUUGUUUUACCUUCCUUGAUGUUAAUAAUACAUGUGUGACAUCACUUGCAAUGAUGUAAUCAAGGUAGGUAAAAAGCAUUUCUCAUAAAGCUGACUUCUGCACUUUUCCUGUACUAGCGUGUGCAGGCAACAACUUUUCUAGCUGGAGAAUUGACUUCGUAUAGUUACCUCGGGAGCUGGUAACGACCUGUUUCCUUAGUUGUUCCUUCAACUCUUGAAGAGUUGAACCAUAUCCCAAGCUGGAACCUUUUGAUAUUAAGGUCUUGCGAAUGUGUAAUAAGUUCCUUAUCUGGUUAUUGAUAGUAAAUUUGUUAGAUCAUCAAAAUAUAAAACAAGGUACUUGUAACCUAUUAGUUUGGUUAAAAAAAAAAAAAAACUUGAAAGGCA
RNAcentral lists this long non-coding RNA (3665 nucleotides) under Nicotiana tabacum (common tobacco). RNAcentral describes it as "long non-coding RNA (NTAB_LNC011049)". The stretch from base 211 to 281 matches the Rfam family "MIR6151 microRNA precursor family". Lineage: Eukaryota; Viridiplantae; Streptophyta; Magnoliopsida; Solanales; Solanaceae. The record is from RNAcentral.